Molecule: long non-coding RNA, 3170 nt
Organism: Oncorhynchus tshawytscha (Chinook salmon)
Lineage: Eukaryota; Metazoa; Chordata; Actinopteri; Salmoniformes; Salmonidae
Source: Ensembl
GAGAGAGAGAGAGCGAGAGCGAGAGAAAGAGAAAGAGAAAGAGAGAGAGAGAGAGAGAGAGAAAGAGAAAGAGAGAGAGAGAGAGAGAGAGAGAGAGAGAGAGAGAUGGAGGGUGUGGUCACCACAAGGCACAAGUGUGUGUGUCUCUCACAUCUUGGUUGUUGAGGAACCAGCCCUUCCCCAGGAACUUCCAGACAUCAGAAUGUACCCUGAAAAACAAUGUGUACAGCAGUGAGAGUUGGUGACGUUUAAGAUGAAGGACCUCAGCCCCAGGACCAUGCACCAGGACUACCUGACAUGAUGACUCCUUGCUGUCCCCAGUCCAUCUGACCGUGCUGCUGCUCCAGUUUCAACUGUUCUGCCUUAUUAUUAUACGACCAUGCUGGUCAUUUAUGAACAUUUGAACAUCUUGGCCAUGUUCUGUUAUAAUCUCCACCCGGCACAGCCAGAAGAGGACUGGCCACCCCACAUAGCCUGGUUCCUCUCUAGGUUUCUUCCUAGGUUUUGGCCUUUCUAGGGAGUUUUUCCUAGCCACCGUGCUUCUACACCUGCAUUGCUUGCUGUUUGGGGUUUUAGGCUGGGUUUCUGUACAGCACUUUGAGAUAUCAGCUGAUGUACAAGGGCUAUAUAAAUAAAUUUGAUUUGAUUUGAUUUGAAGUGUGCGGCACAGACGUUCGUAUUGGAAUUUGGCCCGGAACAGGAACUCCAUACAUGGGCACCGACAGUCAUAUUGAACCGAGGCCCUGAAGCAGGAACUCCAUAUAAGGCUCCAGGCACCCAUAUUGGAGCGCGGCCUAUUAAAAAGAAAUUUCACAUAUGGACAUAGAGCCAUGACCAUCCAAUCUGCUCAACUGCAUCCAAUCAUCAUUAGCCACAAGCCACAACUGUAGGAAGCAUUGGGGUCAACAUGGACCAGCAUUACUGUGGAACGCUUUCGACCCCUUGUAGAGUCCAUGCCCCAACAAAUUGAGACUGUUCUGAGGGCAAAAGUUGGGGAUGUAACUCAAUAUAAGGUGUUCCUAAUGUUAUGUAUACUCAGCUAGCACAUCAAUUGUGAAAAAUUGGAUUGUGACUAAAACUUGGCCAUUACAUGCUUUAAAUGGUGCUGUCCAACUGCUGACAUGAAUAUAUCUAAUCACUUGGGUACCCUGACUGGGACUCAAACCCUGGGACCUGCGACUGUCAUUCUGAAACCAUUCCCAAAAGGCUAAAAACUCUUGCUGAAGUCGAUAGGUGUUGUACGAAUGUUGUUUAGUAUUUUUACAAUAGGUUCAACUUCUAUUGUGUUGUCUUUUAUUAGCUUGCUUGUAUUGCUAUCAAUAACAAUGACAACAAUGAUAAUCCAAUUUAUGAUGUUAAAAACGUAAUUGGUUUCGAAACAACAACAUAAACUCUUGUCUCCAGUCCAGACACAUCUUGAAUAAUAGGUCUGACACAGAUUUAGACGUGACAGUAAGCGACCAACUUCCCCAUUAUAUAAACAUCAUCACAAGGUAAACAGUGGUAAACACCACUCAGAAACACACAAAGGCUAAUUAUCCAGUCCCAAUACCCCAGAGGCAUUUCCUCCAAAGCAACUAAGAACCACUUGCAUCCUGUUAAGCCAUCUUGCUGGGCAAAACAAAAGAUCUAGAGCAUUCCCAAAGACGUACCCUUCCCUUCCCCCUCCUCCCACCACCCCUUUGGCCAACCCUGUAGGUUCAAACCUCAGUGCGUGCAGGAAGAGUGUGAUCAGAAGAGACAAACCAACACCGCUCGGUGCAGGUGUAGACGCCAUGUGCCGAAAGGUAGAAAUUCUUCUACAACAAAAGGAGCUCUGAAAGGUCGCUAAGAAAAUAAAAGGAAGGCUGUGCAAACACAACGCAGCCUGUGACCUGAGAAUAAAAAAAACGUGCUUCUGUCACGGUCGUUCCAUCCUGUUUCCUUAUCUCAAGUGGUUAUACUUGUGCUGUAGCCAGGUAGCCUGGAUUACAUUUGUGUCGUGAUGUAAACAUGGUUGCCGUUUUAGUUGUUUUCUUCCACAAUCCUUAUUGUUUUUCAAAGAAAAUGAAAUGGCUCUGUUUAUUGUGCUUUUCUCUGCACGGUUAAAUCCAGAUUGGAGCUGUGCAAGCACAUGACAUAGCAGGUGACCUGAGAAUGAAACUAGAUUUGUUUGAUUAACAGUCAUUCGUCCUGUUUUCGUAUCUCAAGUGGUUAUACUUGUAUUGUCUGCAGUGUCACCUGCUACCAGCGUUGCCAAGACGCCAGGUAGAUAUAACAUGAUAUAACAUGUUGAGUGAAAGAGAGAAAAGGCUGAGAAAGCGAGAGAGAGAGAGAGAUUUUGCGUUUGCUACAUAUGACACAAAUGACCCGUGAAUUGAUGUGGUUAUAAACCUCUCUAUAAUUCUCAGUCAUGUAUUUAUGUCACACAAUAUGGGAUUAGGUGUACAAACAUAUACAAUGCAGCCCAGAUCAGUCCUACAACAUUGUAUUUACCAAGCUCUGUUUUAAAAGGCAUUGUACUAAAGGGCCUUGCAGCCAACACGACUUCUGCAUCCUUUGCUUUUGUGGCAUUGGGCAGUCACUGUUCCACAUUUUUUGAUGUUACAGCCUGAAUUUAAAAUUGAUUAAAUUGUAGAUCACACAAAUGCCCAAUAAUGUCAAAGUGGAAUUUUGUUUGUAGAUUUUCUAAAUUAAUCAAAAAUGAAAAGUUGAAAUGUCUUAAGUCAGUAAUUAUUCAACCGCUUUCUUGUGGCAAGCCUAAAUGAGUUCAGGAUUACAAACGUGCUUUAAAAAAUCAUGUAAUAGUUUGCAUGCACUAAUUCUUUGUUCAAUAAUAGUUGUUGACAUGAUUUUUGAAUGACUACUCCAUCUCUGUACCCCACACAUACGGGUCCCUCAAUCCAGUAGUGAAUUUCAAGCACAGAUUCAACUACAAAGACCAGGGAGGUUUUUCAAUGCCUCGCAAAGAAGGGCACCGAUUGGUUUGUGAAUAUAAAAAAUAUUCCUUUGAGCAUGGUGAAGUUAUUAAUUAGGCUUUGGAUGGUGUAUCAAUAAACCCAGACACUACAAAGAUACAGGAGUCCUUUCUUACUCAGUUGCUGGAGAAACUGCUCAGGGUUUUUACCAUGAGGCCAUUGGUGAUUUUAAAACAGUUACAGAGUUUAAUAGUUGUGAUAUGAGAAAACAGA